Molecule: ribosomal RNA, 617 nt
Filed under: uncultured bacterium
Lineage: Bacteria
Description: bacterial SSU rRNA
Rfam family: Bacterial small subunit ribosomal RNA
Source: RNAcentral
GUCGAGGGAGAAGCUAUCUUCGGAUGGUGGAGACCGGCAGACGGGUGAGUAACACGUGGGAACAUACCGAGUAGUGGGGGAUAACAGUUGGAAACGACUGCUAAUACCGCAUACGCCCUUCGGGGGAAAGAUUUAUCGCUAUUCGAUUGGCCCGCGUUAGAUUAGCUAGUUGGUAAGGUAACGGCUUACCAAGGCGACGAUCUAUAGCUGGUUUGAGAGGAUGGUCAGCCACACUGGGACUGAGACACGGCCCAGACUCCUACGGGAGGCAGCAGUGGGGAAUAUUGCACAAUGGGGGAAACCCUGAUGCAGCCAUGCCGCGUGUGUGAAGAAGGCCUUCGGGUUGUAAAGCACUUUCAGUUGUGAGGAAAGUUUGCUGGUUAAUACCCAGUAGAUGUGACGUUAGCAACAGAAGAAGGACCGGCUAACUCCGUGCCAGCAGCCGCGGUAAUACGGAGGGUCCGAGCGUUAAUCGGAAUUACUGGGCGUAAAGCGCACGCAGGCGGUUUGUUAAGCUAGAUGUGAAAGCCCCGGGCUCAACCUGGGAAUAGCAUUUAGAACUGGCAGACUAGAGUCUUGGAGAGGGGAGUGGAAUUUCUGGUGUAGCGGUGAAAUGC